UGAUAUCCUACGGGAGGCAGCAGUUAGGAAUCUUCGUCAAUGGGCGAAAGCCUGAACGAGCGACGCCGCUUGAGGGACGAAGCCCUUCGGGGUGUAAACCUCUGAACAGGGGACGAUGAUGACGGUACCCUGCUAAUAGCACCGGCUAACUCCGUGCCAGCAGCCGCGGUAAUACGGAGGGUGCGAGCGUUACCCGGAUUUACUGGGCGUAAAGGGCGUGUAGGCGGUUUUCUAAGUCCGGGGCUAAAGACCAGGGCUCAACCCUGGGUUUGCCUUGGAUACUGGAAAGCUCGACGGCUGGAGGGGCAGCGGAAUUUCCGGAGUAGCGGUGAAAUGCGUAGAUAUAUCA
This 349-nucleotide ribosomal RNA is filed under the name uncultured bacterium. Its description in RNAcentral is "bacterial SSU rRNA". It matches the Rfam family "Bacterial small subunit ribosomal RNA", at positions 332 to 699 of the family's 1533-position model. The record is from RNAcentral.